AUUGAACGCUGGCGGCAUGCCUUACACAUGCAAGUCGAACGGCAGCACGGGUGCUUGCACCUGGUGGCGAGUGGCGAACGGGUGAGUAAUACAUCGGAACGUACCUUAUCGUGGGGGAUAACGCAGCGAAAGCUGUGCUAAUACCGCAUACGCCCUGAGGGGGAAAGCGGGGGAUCGCAAGACCUCGCGCGAUUAGAGCGGCCGAUGCCUGAUUAGGUUGUUGGUGGGGUAAAAGCCCACCAAGGCGACGAUCAGUAGCCGGUCUGAGAGGACGAUCAGCCACACUGGGACUGAGACACGGCCCAGACUCCUACGGGAGGCAGCAGUGGGGAAUUUUGGACAAUGGGGGCAACCCUGAUCCAGCAAUGCCGCGUGAGUGAAGAAGGCCUUCGGGUUGUAAAGCUCUUUUGUCAGGGAAGAAACACCGGCUCUAACACAGUCCGGGAAUGACGGUACCUGAAGAAUAAGCACCGGCUAACUACGUGCCAGCCGCCGCUGUAA
RNAcentral lists this ribosomal RNA (501 nucleotides) under uncultured bacterium. RNAcentral describes it as "partial 16S ribosomal RNA". It matches the Rfam family "Bacterial small subunit ribosomal RNA", at positions 29 to 523 of the family's 1533-position model. The record is from RNAcentral.